Molecule: ribosomal RNA, 477 nt
Filed under: uncultured bacterium
Lineage: Bacteria
Description: partial 16S ribosomal RNA
Rfam family: Bacterial small subunit ribosomal RNA
Source: RNAcentral
GAUAAACGCUGGCGGCGUGCAUAACACAUGCAAGUCGAACGAUGAAGCUUAAAAGAUUUCUUCGGAAUGAACUUAAUUGGAUUAGUGGCGGACGGGUGAGUAACGCGUGAGUAACCUGCCUUGUACAAGGGGAUAGCCGUUGGAAACGACGAAUAAUACCCUAUGACAUCAAAUAAUCGCAUGAUAAUUUGAUCAAAGAUUUAUCGGUAUAAGAUGGACUCGCGUCUGAUUAGCUAGUUGGUAGAGUGAAAGCCUACCAAGGCAACGAUCAGUAGCCGGCUUGAGAGAGUGUACGGCCACAUUGGGACUGAGACACGGCCCAGACUCCUACGGGAGGCAGCAGUGGGGAAUUUUGCACAAUGGGGGAAACCCUGAUGCAGCGACGCCGCGUGAUUUAGAAGGCCUUCGGGUUGUAAAAAUCUUUUGUAUGGGAAGAAAAUGACAGUACCAUACGAAUAAGGACCGGCUAAUUACGUG